ACAGAGUCUGAACUGAUCCUUUACCAAAAGACUGAGUCCCUACUACAGUAGCUCGUUUAUGAUCUUGAAGAGCACCGGUAACAAUCUCACUAGCAGAGGCACUACCGUUAUUUACAAGGACACUUAUAGGGGGAUCAGUAAUAGUAUUACGUUUAUGAGCAAAUUCUCUGUCUACCCUUUGUUUUCCCCUUCCUAUAGUAGAAACAAUAAGUCCAGUAUCUAUAAACAUAUCCGAUAUCUUAACGGAUUGUUCCAGAAGUCCUCCUGGAUUAUCUC
This 276-nucleotide non-coding RNA is filed under the name bovine gut metagenome. The record is from RNAcentral.